AAGUCUUCGGUUAGAGCCCACCGCUCAACGGUGGAACAGCCGGAGAAACUAGCAGGAUUGAGGUUGGGAGAGGUAAGCGGAAUUGCCGGUGUAGUAGUAAAAUGCGUUAAUAUCGGCAAGAACACCAAAGGCGAAGGCAGCUUACUGGAACACACCUGACACUGAGGUACGAAAGCGUGGGUAGCAAACAGGAUUAGAUACCCUGGUAGUCCACGCCGUAAACGAUGUCAACUAGCCGUUGGGCCUAUAUACAGGUUUAGUGGCGCAGCUAACGCAUUAAGUUGACCGCCUGGGGAGUACGGCCGCAAGGUUAAAACUCAAAUGAAUUGACGGGGGCCCGCACAAGCGGUGGAGCAUGUGGUUUAAUUCGAUGCAACGCGAAGAACCUUACCUACCCUUGACAUCCUAAGAACCCUGCGGAGACGCGGGGGUGCCUUCGGGAACUUAGAGACAGGUGCUGCAUGGCUGUCGUCAGCUCGUGUCGUGAGAUGUUGGGUUAAGUCCCGUAACGAGCGCAACCCUUAUCCUUAGUUGCCAGCGGGUCAAGCCGGGAACUCUAGGGAGACUGCCGAUGAUAAAUCGGAGGAAGGUGGGGACGACGUCAAGUCAUCAUGGCCCUUAUGGGUAGGGCUACACACGUGCUACAAUGGCCGGUACAGAGGGCAGCAAACUCGCGAGAGCCAGCAAAUCCCAGAAAGCCGGUCCUAGUCCGGAUUGGAGUCUGCAACUCGAC
RNAcentral lists this ribosomal RNA (733 nucleotides) under uncultured Gammaproteobacteria bacterium. Its description in RNAcentral is "bacterial SSU rRNA". It matches the Rfam family "Bacterial small subunit ribosomal RNA", at positions 585 to 1316 of the family's 1533-position model. Lineage: Bacteria; Pseudomonadati; Pseudomonadota; Gammaproteobacteria. The record is from RNAcentral.